Molecule: ribosomal RNA, 378 nt
Filed under: Triticum aestivum (bread wheat)
Lineage: Eukaryota; Viridiplantae; Streptophyta; Magnoliopsida; Poales; Poaceae
Description: partial small subunit ribosomal RNA
Source: RNAcentral
AUGGCGUGGUGGCUGCGGUGUGGCCGGCAGCCGUCGGUGGCCUUCCCCUGCCCUGCUUCAGUCGGCUGGGCCCGAUUCUUGCCCAAAGGUUUUGUUUUUUUCCUGGCGUCAGCGUCGGUGGACCUUGGUGAGGGUGGUGGGGUAAUCUCCGAUGCCGGGGCGGCGACUCUGGUGGUGGAAGCGCGGUGCUCGUGGGCGGAGCCCAUGGCUCAGGUGCCGCCUGGUGGCCAUGGCCAUGACCCUAGUAGUUUGUCGUGCUAUGGGGUGGUGUUGCUACGCUCAGCUCCUAUGUAUCCUGCCUUGGGGUGUGUGCCUAUGUUGUGGUGGCAAAAUGUUGAUAAUUAUGCAAAAGAGAUAAAACAGUCCAAUGGAACAUGA